GACGAACGCUGGCGGCGUGCUUAACACAUGCAAGUCGAACGGUAAGGCUCCAGCUUGCUGGGGUACACGAGUGGCGAACGGGUGAGUAACACGUGGGUGACCUGCCCUGCACUUCGGGAUAAGCCUGGGAAACUGGGUCUAAUACCGGAUAGGACCGCACCGUGAGGGUGUGGUGGAAAGUUUUUUCGGUGUGGGAUGGGCCCGCGGCCUAUCAGCUUGUUGGUGGGGUAAUGGCCUACCAAGGCGGCGACGGGUAGCCGGCCUGAGAGGGUGGACGGCCACAUUGGGACUGAGACACGGCCCAGACUCCUACGGGAGGCAGCAGUGGGGAAUAUUGCACAAUGGGCGGAAGCCUGAUGCAGCGACGCCGCGUGGGGGAUGACGGCCUUCGGGUUGUAAGCUCCUUUCACCAUCGACGAAGGGUUUCUGACGGUAGAUGGAGAAGAAGCACCGGCUAACUACGUG
This 465-nucleotide ribosomal RNA is filed under the name uncultured bacterium. RNAcentral describes it as "partial 16S ribosomal RNA". It matches the Rfam family "Bacterial small subunit ribosomal RNA", at positions 28 to 507 of the family's 1533-position model. The record is from RNAcentral.